GGGUGGUAAUGCCGGAUGCUCCAGUUGAUCGCAUGGUCUUCUGGGAAAGCCUUUGCGGCAUGGGAUGGGGUCGCGUCCUAUCAGCUUGAUGGCGGGGUAACGGCCCACCAUGGCUUCGACGGGUAGCCGGCCUGAGAGGGCGACCGGCCACAUUGGGACUGAGAUACGGCCCAGACUCCUACGGGAGGCAGCAGUGGGGAAUAUUGCACAAUGGGCGCAAGCCUGAUGCAGCGACGCCGCGUGAGGGAUGGAGGCCUUCGGGUUGUAAACCUCUUUUGUUAGGGAGCAAGGCAUUUUGUGUUGAGUGUACCUUUCGAAUAAGCACCGGCUAACUACGUGCCAGCAGCCGCGGUAAUACGUAGGGUGCAAGCGUUAUCCGGAAUUAUUGGGCGUAAAGGGCUCGUAGGCGGUUCGUCGCGUCCGGUGUGAAAGUCCAUCGCUUAACGGUGGAUCCGCGCCGGGUACGGGCGGGCUUGAGUGCGGUAGGGGAGACUGGAAUUCCCGGUGUAACGGUGGAAUGUGUAGAUAUCGG
RNAcentral lists this ribosomal RNA (532 nucleotides) under Bifidobacterium breve. Its description in RNAcentral is "bacterial SSU rRNA". It matches the Rfam family "Bacterial small subunit ribosomal RNA", at positions 158 to 700 of the family's 1533-position model. The record is from RNAcentral. Lineage: Bacteria; Bacillati; Actinomycetota; Actinomycetes; Bifidobacteriales; Bifidobacteriaceae.